Molecule: unclassified non-coding RNA, 1497 nt
Filed under: Hevea brasiliensis (rubber tree)
Lineage: Eukaryota; Viridiplantae; Streptophyta; Magnoliopsida; Malpighiales; Euphorbiaceae
Source: RNAcentral
UUUAAAGAUCAAAUUGGUUUUGAAAUUGCACAAAUCCUGGAAGCCCCAGAAUCAGUAACCAAAUAACACAUUAUACAGACAACCUAUAACCAUUCUCUAAUACAACUAAAGAAAAUCCACAAAAGGGAUGAUUUAAAAAAAAUAAAAAUAAUAAAAAGAAAUAAUCAAGUACACACACCUAUACCCUCUAUACAUCCCCCACAAAAUCUUAUGUACUAAAUUACAAUCCAAUUUAUGCCAUCUAUUUCACCUGAGAAAAAGGCACAAGAGAGAAGUCAAAACUAUUGAGGUCUUUUGCCAAAGUCCUCUCUGCCCUACAGAAAAGAAUUACACAUCUAACACCAACUAAUAAUUUCCUCUUCAAUGCAAGCUUCUCUCAUUUUGCAACAGUUCAAAUGUCAUUCGGAUCCUGGAUAGAAGUUGGGACUAGUUUCAACUCAUCAUUCUUUCCUAAUUGUAGAUUUUCACUGGCUUCUCAAAUGUGUGUCGAUUCUGAUUAGCAGCAAAUGACCUUUUAGGAGCAUUGUCAGAGUGCUCCAGUCCAAGAUACUGCUCCCAAGCACCAUAGACGUCCCUCCUCUGAAAUCGACUGGAUACAAUAUCGGAGUCUUGAAGGUAUUCAGGACGACCCAGUGACAAAAAUGCAAACUUCCACUGAAUAAAAAAAGUGCCCCAUAAAUAGAAAUGGUACAAGUACAAAAAGUAUAUAUUUAACAACCAAGCCAAUUUCUUAUUGGAGGAAUAGACCAAGCUCCUUAAAAUGUAAAACAGUGAAAUACCAUAUUCAAACCUUAAGAAACACAUUGAAAAAAGAGCACAUGCACGCGCACAAAUAUAUAUAAUCAGGUUCAGGUAUUAAAUAAAUACCUUCGCAAACUCCUCAUCAGGAACCUGUAAUUUUUUCUGUAUCCGCACUUUAACUUCAGCUAAUGUCUCACCUUCAUGAAUUACCAGAAAAAAGGGCUCGCCAAAAUUCUGAACCUGCUGUUAAAUUUUACAAGAAAGUAAUCUUCAGUAGUUACAAAGUAAAAGGAUUAGUAGCUCACAUCGAUGGCCAACAACUGGCUAAACAUCAAGUAAAACUGAGCCACAAGCACAAGGAAAUAAUAAAAAUGCCAACCAAAACUCAACAAAGCCUUAAUCCAGAAAUGAUUGGAGAUGGCUACAUAGAUCCAUUUCUUCCAUAUAAAAUCAAAAGGGAAAUUAAAUUAAAUCAUAGCACCUGAUUUUGAGCUGGGUCUUUCAUAAAAUGAUAAACAUGAAUCAAACGAUCAUUAGGAACAAGGUUUUUCUCCUCCUCUGGAAUCUCCUCUGCACGUAAUGUCCAAUACUGAUCAUUAAUAUUCUCAAUUUUUUCAUUGUGUGGAAAGAUCUGGAAAAAUAAACUGCAACUUAGAUACAAGACACCAGAAGCACAAAACAAGAGGUUGCAAGUUGGAUUUUUUUCUUUGGUGCUCACCAUUUUUUGCAAAAGAAAAUAUUGGACGCUUACAGAAA